Phascolarctos cinereus (koala) is the source of this 2077-nucleotide non-coding RNA. The record is from RefSeq and is a predicted model, not a curated record. NCBI's taxonomy places the organism in Eukaryota, Metazoa, Chordata, Mammalia, Diprotodontia, Phascolarctidae.
UCCAUGGCCAGGGCAGCUUGUGUCCCCGGCUGCGACCAUGCGGAUCCUUUUCCUGGCCGUGCUGCGAGCGCACACCGGCAACGCCGUAACGGCCGCUCGGAUCCGGAAUCAUCUAGAAGCUGUAGGUCACACAUGUAUUCUGAAAGAUGCCCUUGACUUUGAAAGCUCCACUGCAGUAGCCAGCCUAAUUGGCAUUGAGAAGUUUGAGGCAGCCCUGGCCCUUCAUCUCUAUAGAGGAGGCAGACUUUUGCAAGGUCAAAGAAUACCUUUUGGAAUCAUCUUUGGAGGAACAGAUAUAAAUGAAGAUAUUGACCAUGAAGAAAAGAAGCAGAUAAUGGGGAUUGUUCUAGAAGAAGCCAGAUUUGCAGUGGCUUUUACAGAAUCAAUGAAGGAAAUGGCACUAAAUAAAUGGCCACAUGCCAAGGGUAAAAUCCACGUCCAAAGCCAAGGAAUUUCAACGAUGCCAAAUGUUACCUUUAACUGGAACACAUUUCUACAAAAUACAGAGAUCAACCGAAGUGCAGAUAAUUUACACAUCUUUAUUUUGAUAUGCGGGCUUAGACGAGUCAAAGAUCCUCUUUAUUUGGUAGACGCUUUCUCAGAAUGGCACCGAGAAGAGCCCAAUGUUUACAUGGUUAUUGUGGGACCUGAACAAGUCUUCUGUAAUAGAAUUCAGGUUGAUCCAGUGUUUACAAGAGAAGUGAAAGCCAGAGUGAAAAGGGCAUCUGGGGUACAAUUGAUGGGGGAGAUGUCUCGAGAAGAUCUUCAUGCCAUUGUGAAAAAUUGCUUCGCUGUCGUGAAUAGCUCCAUUUCCGAAGGAAUGUCAGCUGCAGUUCUGGAGGCAAUGGACCUGGAAGUUCCUGUGUUGGUAAGAAACAUUCCUGGCAAUGCAGCCAUUGUUAAGCAUGAAGAGACAGGAUUAUUGUUCUCACAUCCUCAGAGCUGUGAAACAGGAAGUCACUGCCUGCUGCUCCUACAUAUGGACCAGGGGAUUCUAUUGUCCUACAGGGAGCCAUCGACAUAACGUCUCUACUGUGGAAUAGAGUAAGACUGAGACCUGAGAGUGACCAAGGAACUUGACCAGCAUCACCCAGAUAGUACAGGUCUAGUACCACCCUAUAUACGACAUCCUUCCUGUUCUCCCCAAACCAGCUUGUGUAUCAGAAGAAUGGCUGAUGAGAGGCUCUUCCUCAGUGAAAAUACAGUAUAUUUUGCUGCCGGAUCACAUAGGGAGGCUUUGUGAGUUACAUUCUGGUAGUGCCUGAUGACACGUAAUGAAAAGCCUGAUUCUCCACUUCAGGACUUGUGUGCUCAGUUUUCCUGUCUGCUAAGUACAUGGCAAACAAAAGAAUUUUUUACUGGUUGCUGAGCUGGAACUUUUUCUGUUAGAGGCAACUGGGCCCUUUUUUCCUUCUCUGGCAUUCAGUGAGGCGGAUGAACCACUGUGAGCAUCCAGGUGGAGGAGGGGCAUUGGGCCCUUUCUCAGAGAAGCCAUGCACUUGUGGGCAUGCGGGGAAGGAGUGCCAGCAUGGGCAGUCUGCUCUUUCCACCCAGGUUUAUCUAAAUUCAUGAACACAUACCUCUGCUUUUGCUUCUUUGAAUCCUGCCUUAAGUGAAGCAAUAGUGGAGAUGGAGAGGAUUAGGCUACGCAUGAUCUUGUGAGCUUCUAAAGUCCACCAGAGGUCUGGAAGCAAGACUCCAGGCCAGAGUUUUCAGCCAUCUGAGCCUGGUCCACCAGGGCAUUCAGGAAGGCCUGGGACACAGCCUGGAACACAGCCUGGUAAUGGAUUGAUGCUACAGCCAUGAUGCUGGAUGCUAUAAGAGGGAGGGAAUCAUCCGUCCAUUAUGUUGCAUUCAGCAGUGAACUUGGUGGGGCAGGUACUUUGUAGCAACUUUUUAAAAACUUAGGUCUAUUCCUAAGGACUAAGAUUGUAAAGGGAAGAAUGUUAGGGGGAAAUGUUUAUACUCGUGUUCUUGAAAUAUCUUCUCAGUAAAUAUCCCUCUGGAAUUGCUCUUGGUAGUCAAUUGUGUCCAACUCUUCAUGAUCCCAUUUGGGGUUUUCUUGGCAGGGACACUG